RNAcentral lists this long non-coding RNA (876 nucleotides) under Chrysemys picta bellii (western painted turtle). RNAcentral's name for it is "lncRNA (ENSCPBG00000004616.1)". The record is from RNAcentral. Lineage: Eukaryota; Metazoa; Chordata; Testudines; Emydidae.
AAGAGGAAAAUUACUGGAAACAAGAAGGCAUAAUGACUUAGGGGAAAACCUUCGAAGCUGUGACUGUCCGUUUCCUGUCUUGUGCAAACCCUAACUGACCAAAUGAUGAUGAUGAUGAUGAUUUUUUUUUUUUGGAGGGUGGCAGCAACGGAAAGCCUCCAGCCUCCACAUUUGCCAAGCUAACUUGCAGCAAGAGCUGUCUAAUUUAGGGGGUGGGGACUAGGGUGCUUCCUUAAACAGCCAGGAGAGCGCGAGAGAUUGGGCACAGGAGGGUGCGUUUCCCCCUGUCAUCCGUGGCCGCGGCGUCAGGGCAUCCGAAAGGCAGCCGCUCGCAUUCUGGAUGUGUCAUUAACACGUGGGGCUGCGCCGGGCGAACUUUCGAAGGAUAUUUGUCUCCAACUUGGACGGAAACUCCGCGGAAUCGGAAAUGUUUCUGAAUGGUGCAAGGAUCCAGUCGCCUCUUUCUGGUUUGGGCCCCACUCCCGUGAAGUUCCCCUGGAGACUAUAUAGGACCUUCACUGCUCAACCGGCCUAGGAAGGCUCUUUCCACAAGGCAGUGCUUCCCUGUGGCUGCUUCGAGUGUACCUGAAGUUCAGUUCCAGCAUUGAAGACACAAGCGACAGCGUGUUUGAAAUGAGUUGAUACAUUUAAUAACGUUAAUUCUGGACCUUCCAGGUCAGAGCUUGGCCACAAUGCCAAGUUUGGGCAGCAGCUCCCCACUCUCUACCCAUCUCUGGACAGAGGAGCUCAGUCGAAUGUGAAUUCAGUUGAGUUCCAUGAGGAGGCAGUUAAUCACUUAGCCAUGAUUUCAUGAUGCAGGGUCAAUCAAGUCCAGAAUCUUGUCUCUGUACCAUACUGUUCAGAGGAAGGUGGAAG